UACAGAGGGGGCAAGCGUUGUUCGGAAUUACUGGGCGUAAAGGGCGCGUAGGCGGCCGCCUAAGUCAGACGUGAAAUCCCUGGGCUCAACCCAGGAACUGCGUCCGAUACUGGUUGGCUUGAAUCCGGGAGAGGGAUGCGGAAUUCCAGGUGUAGCGGUGAAAUGCGUAGAUAUCUGGAGGAACACCGGUGGCGAAGGCGGCAUCCUGGACCGGCAUUGACGCUGAGGAGCGAAAGCCAGGGGAGCAAACGGG
This 253-nucleotide ribosomal RNA is filed under the name uncultured bacterium. Its description in RNAcentral is "partial 16S ribosomal RNA". It matches the Rfam family "Bacterial small subunit ribosomal RNA", at positions 524 to 776 of the family's 1533-position model. The record is from RNAcentral.